This is a ribosomal RNA of Dothistroma septosporum NZE10, 120 nucleotides long. NCBI's taxonomy places the organism in Eukaryota, Fungi, Ascomycota, Dothideomycetes, Mycosphaerellales, Mycosphaerellaceae. The record is from Rfam.
ACAUACGACCAUAGGUGACUGAAUAUUAGGGAUCCCGUCCGCUCUCCCAUAUACAAGCAGUCAACCGCGAGACUAGUACUACGGUGGGUGACCACGUGGGAAUCCCUCGUGUUGUAUGUU